Neodiprion virginianus is the source of this 1501-nucleotide RNA transcript. It is a transcript of the gene named centrosomal protein CCDC61-like, with no coding region annotated. NCBI's taxonomy places the organism in Eukaryota, Metazoa, Arthropoda, Insecta, Hymenoptera, Diprionidae. The record is from RefSeq and is a predicted model, not a curated record. The transcript has 7 exons.
GGCCAUGGUUACGGGUAUUAUUGAGACAGGCGAAAGGGCGCCGAGAUAAUGGCAGCGCCCUAUGUUUACCGAAAUACCGGUUCCAUUAUGGAUACACCCCUGAGCGCCCGUGACAGUGUGCAAUAUACUGCAAUUUGUAAUCGGUCAGCGUUGACGUCUAAUAACUCGAUCCGUUAUGCUCGUGAAUAUGUUUUUUCCACGCUAGCUCUCGUAAUUUCAUACCUACAGCGACCGUUGGAAUAAAGAUAUUUUUUCAUCUCGACUAUUGAUAUUUAUUGAGGGAACAAGAUUUGAUCAUGAAUAAUCCGGGACAAAAUUUGGUUACCACAUAUGUAUGCAAGAGCGGAAGAGAAUACAUCGUCAAGAUGAGGGUCGUCGGCUUAGGAGGAGAAUCGUCGACAUCGCGGCGCAACUUGGACAUUACCGUCACCGACAAACACACUGCCGAGAAAUGGCAGUCCUCGUACGACGUCGCCUGUCUAUUGGUACGUUCACCCUUGAAUGAUCAUCUUGUUUCGGCAGAUAUCGAGAAUCUCACCCAGAAAACAGGAAAUUACAAACAAUUCGAUAUAUUCGUAGCCAUGCUGCAGUCUGGUUUGUUAAAAACAAGCGACUGUGUCUCCCUCGACCUGCUAACUUUUGACGAUCUAGAGCUGUUGCGCUGCCGUAGGACCGAAGUUGGGUCAGAUUAUUCGUUGGUCGGUGCCAAGAUGAGCAACAGGCGAUAUUUGAUUAUUACUUACAACGUGGAGUUUGACAGAAUCCAUUAUCCAUUGCCAUUGGAGUAUUGCGGCCUACCUGACACCGCCGUUCUACAGUCAACGAUAAGAAGGCUAGAAGCUGAAUUGGAGAGACUCAGGUCAGCUGGGGGUGGAAUUGAGAAUCUUUGUAAGAAACUUGAACUGCUAACAGCAGCCAACAAGAAACUUGUCGAAGAAAACCACAGAUUGUCUAAUGGCGGUCGAGGAAUUCAUCGUUUACUCGGAGCUGUUAAAUCCUUGGAACGGUCGGUGGCUGAAGAGCGGGCAUCAUUUCGUUCUCGAAUACAAAAACUGCGUACUGAGAAUUCCAUUUUGGUGGCAAAGCUGCACCGCUCAAGCGAAGCUGUCGAUAGAAAGCCCCGACGAUCCAGUCCGCUAACGCUUCCAUUCCAAAGCAGAUGUUUAAUGGGUAGAAGACGUAAGAGCCGAUCAGCACUGGGUCGUGGUCGAUCAAAGUCGGCAAGUUCCUCGCCAGGAAAGCUACAUGCAGCACUUGUGUCUGCUUUUUGUCAUUCUGAAGUGAAAACUUUCUAUACAGCUUCUCAGAUCUUCUCGCUGCUCCUUAUGUAUAAACUGUAUUUAACCGAAAGUUCUCGCCGAUAGGCAGCUCCUCUGUCGACUCGAUCAAGUCUAUAGGGUCCCCUCGCCAAGGAGUUGUAGGAUGUCGUCGGUUGAAGACGAAAGAAAUAGACUUUGGAAAUUUGGAGUCUCGAAUUCACAAAUUGCAGAAGAUGCUCAAG